CAGGCUUAACACAUGCAAGUCGAGGGGCAGCAUUUCAGUUUGCUUGCAAACUGGAGAUGGCGACCGGCGCACGGGUGAGUAACACGUAUCCAACCUGCCGAUAACUCGGGGAUAGCCUUUCGAAAGAAAGAUUAAUACCCGAUGGUAUAAUCAGACCGCAUGGUCUUGUUAUUAAAGAAUUUCGGUUAUCGAUGGGGAUGCGUUCCAUUAGGCAGUUGGUGAGGUAACGGCUCACCAAACCUUCGAUGGAUAGGGGUUCUGAGAGGAAGGUCCCCCACAUUGGAACUGAGACACGGUCCAAACUCCUACGGGAGGCAGCAGUGAGGAAUAUUGGUCAAUGGGCGCAGGCCUGAACCAGCCAAGUAGCGUGAAGGAUGACUGCCCUAUGGGUUGUAAACUUCUUUUAUAUGGGAAUAAAGUUUUCCACGUGUGGAAUUUUGUAUGUACCAUAUGAAUAAGGAUCGGCUAACUCCGUGCCAGCAGCCGCGGUAAUACGGAGGAUCCGAGCGUUAUCCGGAUUUAUUGGGUUUAAAGGGAGCGUAGGUGGACAGUUAAGUCAGUUGUGAAAGUUUGCGGCUCAACCGUAAAAUUGCAGUUGAUACUGGCUGUCUUGAGUACAGUAGAGGUGGGCGGAAUUCGUGGUGUAGCGGUGAAAUGCUUAGAUAUCACGAAGAACUCCGAUUGCGAAGGCAGCUCACUGGACUGCAACUGACACUGAUGCUCGAAAGUGUGGGUAUCAAACAGGAUUAGAUACCCUGGUAGUCCACACAGUAAACGAUGAAUACUCGCUGUUUGCGAUAUACAGUAAGCGGCCAAGCGAAAGCAUUAAGUAUUCCACCUGGGGAGUACGCCGGCAACGGUGAAACUCAAAGGAAUUGACGGGGGCCCGCACAAGCGGAGGAACAUGUGGUUUAAUUCGAUGAUACGCGAGGAACCUUACCCGGGCUUAAAUUGCAUUUGAAUAUAUUGGAAACAGUAUAGCCGUAAGGCAAAUGUGAAGGUGCUGCAUGGUUGUCGUCAGCUCGUGCCGUGAGGUGUCGGCUUAAGUGCCAUAACGAGCGCAACCCUUAUCUUUAGUUACUAACAGGUCAUGCUGAGGACUCUAGAGAGACUGCCGUCGUAAGAUGUGAGGAAGGUGGGGAUGACGUCAAAUCAGCACGGCCCUUACGUCCGGGGCUACACACGUGUUACAAUGGGGGGUACAGAAGGCAGCUACCUGGUGACAGGAUGCUAAUCCCAAAAGCCUCUCUCAGUUCGGAUCGAAGUCUGCAACCCGACUUCGUGAAGCUGGAUUCGCUAGUAAUCGCGCAUCAGCCAUGGCGCGGUGAAUACGUUCCCGGGCCUUGUACACACCGCCCGUCAAGCCAUGAAAGCCGGGGGUACCUGAAGUACGUAACCGCAAGGAGCGUCCUAGGGUAAAACUGGUAAUUGGGGCUAA
Molecule: ribosomal RNA, 1438 nt
Filed under: uncultured organism
Description: 16S ribosomal RNA
Rfam family: Bacterial small subunit ribosomal RNA
Source: RNAcentral